UCCUCAUUUCAGUAGGAGUCAUUUGAUGAGACAGACCUUGAGGAAGCUCCAGGACUUCUCCUUCCCGUUGUUGAUGAGAACACGACAGAUCCUGUUCACUACACUGACUGGAGUCUCCUGAUCUUCACGCUUCAUCACGCAGACGCUGAGCAGCUCAUCUCAUCUCAUCUCCUUCACAAACUUUUACUUACUUGAAGGAUAUUAGACAACAAGCUUCUUAACUCACUGGAUCUUGACAAAUUGCCUUUUCUGGACCUCUGUCCUCCUUCUCCAUCCCUGAUGGACCAUUUAUCUUCUUUCUGAUGGUCUCAGUCCAGUGUGAACAUCAUUCUGUGUCUCUUUGUUCAACAUCUUCUAGUUCAGUUGUGGGACAGAACCAGAGGAGUCACUACUCAGUGACCGUGUGGACCAGCUGGAGGAACGUGAUCCAGGAUUUAAUGCAGAAACUUCUUCCUCUUCCUCUGCCACUGCGUCUCAAGGCCACCUUCACGUCCGUCAGCAUGCACAGAACCAGAACCUCAAACACAAAGAGUUUCACAUCAAAACACUUCUUCACCUCCGCCUUGCAAUCCCGCGUUCAAAGCAUCGGAAGGAUGAAACUCGCAGGCUUCCUGCUGUUCAUGUGGAAAUGAGAAAUCUCUAAUCUCUGCUCAGAUGGAAAUCUCACACACACACACACUCACACGCAAGCAAUCAGCACAGUAUCAAAGGUACACUACAGGUUUAUGCACACACACACACACACACACACACACACCUCUGACUCGUCCGGAACGCCGCUGCCGCAGGAAUGCUGAUGUGAGCUGAAGGAGGAACGGCUUCAACAUGCAGGACAACACACACACACACACACACACACACACACACACACACACACACACACACACACUGAUAGCUGAAGUCUUAAAAACACAGACAUUCACUCAUUAGAGUUAAACGAGGGAUGAAUAAAGAUUACUCAAAACUUCAUUACAAUCAUUUUCAAAUAUUUUCUCAGACUCUCAUGAGGAACCCACAAACAAUCCAUAAAGAACCCAUGGUUCUGUGGUUUAUGAGGAGAGCAGCAGUUUCCUUCCAGUUCAUUAUUUAUUUUUGUUUGCAGUUUCUUUUAUUUUGUCACGGCAGAUGUUUGUUUGUUUAUUUGUUUCUUGUUUUUUUCUUUUAUUCUUUUUUUUUUUACAUCAUGCUUCAUUUACCUCCUCACCAAACUCACUGCUUUUUACUGAUGCUGUAGUUUUUCCCUGGUUUCUGCAAAUCACACUGCUUUCUACUUUUGUUUGUCUUUUUAUCUAGUGCGGUUCUUUUCCCAUGCCUCAUGCCUCUCCACACAUCACGUCUUCUUUCAUUUGUUUGUUUCUUUUGAGGUUCUUCUUCUCAUCUUCACACAUCUCUUUUAGUUAUUUUUGUUCUUAUAAUGGUUCUUCACCUUGUUGUUUUAGCGAGCACAGAUCUGUUCUCCAAAGCUGCUAUCACGGUUCUUCACUCUCGUCUCCUCUCAUCUCCUGAAAGUCUGCGUGGCCUCGGAACCUCUGCAGACCCUCAGUCUCUCCACUCUGUCUUCACUGACCUCUAGAACACAAUCAGAGCCCAGACUUCUCCUUCUCCUUUAUCCCAGAGAACUUCAGCCACUUGACCUGGAACCUGGAGAUGUUUCUGAGUGAAGACGACGAUGGAGAUGGAACAGAUUCUUUACUUUUCAGAAAAAAAACUGAAGGCUAAAAAUCUCACACACACACACACACACACACACACACACACACACACACACACACACACACACUGACACACAGCGCUCUAGUUGAGGUGUUCAUGUGGAGUCAUGUGGAGCGUGUACAGGUGAUCCUCAGCGUGUUCCUCAUCACGACUUCCUCAGAUCUCCGUUGUGGUCCAUGUUCAUGUGUGUCGUUAGCGGCACAGAAACGCUGAUGGAUCAGAGCCGAGAGACAGACGGAGUCAGACAGAGACAGAUGGAGUCAGACAGAGACAGACGGAGAGAGAUGGAGUCAGACGGAGACAGACGGAGACAGACAGAGACAGACGGAGGAGAUCGUUACCCUUCUACUGAGACCCGAAGCUCUGGCGUUUCACUGAGCUGAAGAGAAAAACAGCUUUCUGCAGGUUACAGUGUGAGACUGUGAGGAGACGCUGAGAUAAAGAGUUCUCCUGCUGAGUCCUGCCUCAGAGCAAUAACACAGAAAUGCUGACAAAGUACAGAAGUGUCCAUAAAGUGUUCAUAAAGGCUUCUUAAGCAUCUACUGUAUAAAUGUUCGUAAAGUGUUCUUAAAUGUUCAUACAUUUUGGUUCAUAUAUCAGGCGUUCAUAUGUAUUUUUAAGUGUUCAUAAAGGUUUCCUCUUAAGUCUUCAUAAGCAUUCCAAAGUGUUUAUAAAUGCUCAGAAGUCUUCAUAAGUGUGUAAUAAAUAAUACAAAGUAGUGUGAUGAAGUGUUUUAUUCCUUUA
This is a long non-coding RNA of Hemibagrus wyckioides, 2457 nucleotides long. RefSeq lists it as uncharacterized. The transcript is spliced from 3 exons. NCBI's taxonomy places the organism in Eukaryota, Metazoa, Chordata, Actinopteri, Siluriformes, Bagridae. The record is from RefSeq and is a predicted model, not a curated record.